ACGACUUUCGUCUCGCAGCAGCAGCUGGGCUGGCUGCAUUUCGUGUUUUUCCGCCAAAGUGUGAAGUCUCGUGGCUCAGAGCCCAAGUGUAGAAAAGAUUUAAAAAGUUCUCCUGCAUCCGAGCAAAAAAUUUAAAAUAUCGGUGCGAAAAUGCUAUAGAUCAAAAGCAAAGAGGAAAAUCAAAGGAAAAAAACCAAUUGGAAAUAAUCAAAAUGAAUCGUCUGCUGCUGCAGUGUCUGGUGGCCACCAUUCUGGUGUACAAAGUGAUUUCUGUGCCCACCAGCACAACUGGUACUAGUGUCCAGACCACCACAGAGAUCCCCCAACAGGACGACGACGACGACGAUUGGGAUGAGGACGAUGACUCCCUGGAAUCCGACGAUGACGGACGCGUCUACAAGAACCCUCGCAACUCACCCUCCACCGAGUGUCCCAGGGAUGAGGAGCAGGCUACGCUCUUGGGGCAGAAGUGCUUGAGAAAAUGCUCCUCGGACGAGGACUGCAAGAGCAAGAAGAAGAAGUGCUUGUGCGACGGCGUCUGCGGCAACUCCUGCAUCAAGCCGGACCGAGAGUGCCCGGAACUGGCUCAACCUACUCUGGGCCAGGUCACCGUGGCCGGUCGCCACUUUGGUGCCCGUGCCUCCUAUGCCUGUCCCCACGGCUAUCAUGUGGUGGGACUGCAGAGCCGUCUGUGCCAAGCCGACGGCAACUGGGCGGGCGCCGAGCCAGCCUGCAAGCAGAACAUCUACUGCCUGAAGCCACCACAGAUCGAGCAUGCACGGAACUCGGCCCUGCCCGAGCAGGAGACAUUCGACCUGGACUCGACGGUGCAGUACCAUUGCCAUACGGGCUAUGUGACCAAUGGAUUUCCUAGGGCCAAGUGUCUGGCCAUCGAUAACCAGGCCAGCUGGUAUGGACCCGAUAUACAAUGUGAACCCCGUUCCUGUGGCCAGCCACCGGAUCCGGCCUAUGGCUGGCAUGCCGGCGAGUGCUAUACGUACGGUUGCAAGAUCACCUACAAUUGUGGCACCGGCUACGAGCUGGUGGGCAAGCACGAGCGCUACUGCCAGUCGGAUGGCUCGUGGACGCCCAAGGAGCUGCCAACGUGUGUCUUGGUGACCUCUGUGGUCUGCCCCACGCCGGAGAAUCCCAAGAACGGCAAGGCCACCUACACCACCCUGGCCUACAAUUCGGUUGUGAGCUACGAGUGCCGCUACGGCUACACCCUGGUCGGCGAGAGCUCCAGUCGCUGCGGUGCCGAUCGCAAAUGGAGCGGAACCCUGCCCACCUGCAAGGAGAUCAAUUGCGGACAUCCUGGUGUCCUGUACAAUGGCUGGAUCGAGAACAUUGAGGCGGGCACUGGUCUCGGCGCCAGCAUCAUCUUCCGCUGCCAGCCCGAGAUGAUGAUCAACGGCUUGGGGUCGAGUGUCUGCCAGAUCGAUGGGCGCUGGCGCAAUGCCUUGCCCGAGUGUCUGGCUCCCUGCGUGGUUCCCACCAUAUCGCAGGGCUAUGUCAUUCCCAUCGAAAUAACCACAGACGAAAACGGAACGACAAUUGUCACGCCCACAACGACCACAACCCAGUCGCCCACCCAAACCCUGGGCGGAGUUGAGAAGGUCAAGCACGGCACUGCGCUGGAGGUGAAGUGCGAUGAGAACUACGAGUUUCCCGUCUCAUUGUUGAGUCCGCCGACCUGCAACAACGGCACCUGGAGCAUAAUACCACGCUGCAUUCCGGCCCGCUGCAAGAGCAUGCCGCGUCCUCCCAAGCAUGGCAUGGUGAUGGCCCCCAAGACGGAGCACGGCAUGAAGGCGCGCUUCAAGUGCAAGGAUGGGUUCAAGCUAGUCAGCCCAGAGGGCAAGGAUGUCACCGAUCCGCAUGAUUAUGUGCUCACCUGCUCAUUUGGCAAUUGGACGGGGGAGACGCCAAAGUGCGAUGAGGUCUUCUGCUCGUUUCCGGGCUACAUACCCAACGGAAAGGUUCUGCUGGUGGGCAACAUGGGGCUCUACGACUACCGGCCGUAUGUCAAGAAGAUAGUCAACAACAAACAGAUCAUGUAUGACUGUGACAAGGGAUAUGUCCUGGAGGUUGGUCCGCCGGGUGCCACUUGCGUGGGUGGUAAAUGGCGUCCCCUGGAUCUGCCGCAGUGUCUACUGGGCCAGCAUCCUCGACUCCGUUGGAAUCGCCGUCGACGUCGCUCCCUGCAGCUGCGUCAAUUGAGAUCCGUAUAUCUGCUGCAAAGACAGCGACAACUGCAACGCGAACUGGCGGAACACCAAAACCAUUUGGAGGGAGCUGGGACCUCAUCGCACCGGGUAAAGCGCAGCGCCAAUCCCACGGACCUGGAUCUGGCCUAUUCCAAAUACUAUCAGACCAUCAAGGAGCGCUAUCAGCGUUAUGUGCGCAAAAUGCUGGGCCACAACAGGAUUUAUCAGAAGCUGCACGCCCACGAUGGACUCUGGUACGAUCACAACAGUGCCAACAGUCCGAACAAUCCCGAGAUGGUCAUGAUGCGAGGCAAGACCACGCACAAGUGGCACAGCCCUAAGGAGGCCAAUGACUUUGAGGAUAGAAACGAUUAUCGAACUGGCGGAGUAGUGCCUCUGCCCAACAUCAAUCAGAGCUCGCGAACCCACACCCACACCCAGUCCAUAGACCAUGGCUCCAAUGAGGCGCCACUAGCCAACGGGUCACCGCCACGAGCGGCAUCAAGGAAGUAUCACCCGAACACGACACUCUCUUUCAUCGAACAGCUAAAGUCCCAGAUCGUGGGACGGCGUCGAAAACGGAGUACGAGCAUUGGCUCAGGCUCCCCUCCACCGUCCGCCACGCUGCCCGAUGCCGAUGUGGACACCAGUGACGGGGGCGAGGCAGGUAAAGGUGCUGGGGGUAAGCGUAUUCGCGGACCCUGCGAGGAUCUCGACUGGGAUUCGUUUGCCAACAUUACCACGGUGCGACCGGGCAAGGUGCCGGGACGAAAUUCCGUGGGCAUCAUGCUCCAACUGGAGUGCAAUGCGGGAUUCAAGCUGAACAUUAAGGGGGAGAAUGCUACGGCCCGCUGCAUACGCGGAAUCUGGAAGCCCGAGACCCCGCGAUGUAUGUCGGCCCCAUGCCUGGUGCCAGCCGUGGAGCAUGGCCAGUACUACAAGGUGGAGCCGCACACGAAGCAGCUGAGUGAUAAACCAUCUCUGACGCCGCUGUCCACCUACGAGGAGAUCCAGUCCAAUGAGUUCGUGACCCUGGAGUGCGAAGAUGGCUUCAACAUACAGGGCUUGGCUCAGCUGCGUUGUGCUCAUGGUUCCUGGUCGGUAGCCGCUUUCUCCGAGUGCACCUCCGUGCCUUGUACACUGCCCAACAUUCCGGGUGUCAUCUAUGAUGGCGGUUACCGGGCAGGUCUUACAAUCGGCCAUGGGAGCACAGUCAACGUGAGGUGUGAGCUCUCCACCAAUGCCAAUCCCAUUGAGAUGUCAUGCCACAAGGGCGUCCUCACGCCACCCAGUAUACCCUGCGAGUCGGGGAUGCGUAGGUCCCGCGAGGAGCUCGAACAUGCCACACCCACGCCGCAUCCCAAGGUGGAGCACAAUGAGCUGGACAACGAUCACGAUCAUCAUGACAACAACACGGACGAGCAUGACCAUGAUGACUUGAAGAUGUGUGGCCCGCCUAUGCUAACCGACGGCGCCCUGGUUUACAAAAAUACUGAUCCUCAUGUUGACAUUGAUGGAAUGUACGAGAGCGGCACAGAGAUCUUCUUUAAUUGCAUACCAAAUGCGGCUGGUGAUCGGCAGACAUGGCGCAUUAUCUGCGACAACGGACUGUGGAUAGGACGAUCCUACAAUUGCGAGAACGGCACGUGCGUGUUCAAGAACAACGAAGCGAAUGUGGUUAGCUUUUACAAUGAUCUUGAGAUCCGUGAAGAUGUUGUAGACUUUCCCCCAGGAGCUACUAUUAUCUCCAGGUGUGUCGAUAUUGGCAAGUUUUCCAUGACUGGGAGCCACGAGCGCACUUGCAUUCAUUCGGAAUGGACAAACACAAAGCCCGUGUGCUCAGGCCUGAAUCAGGAGAACGACUAUGCGAUGGAAAAGGCACCCACUAUCCUGUUUCGCCACCAGAAUGGACCCAUUGCCCAGAGCAAUGAUGGCAAACUUAUUGUCUACCCGGGCACCACGCUGCACAUGGAGUGUCUGUGGAUGCGGCGCUUCGGCAAUCCCAAAUGGAAUGUCAGUCACGUGCACAAGAACUACACGGAGGGCUGGGUGACCGAGGCGGAUGCGGGCCGGGACUCAUCGCUGGAGUAUCGGCUGAGCAUUUUCGAUGCCAGCCACGACGACACAGGAUUCUACUCGUGCAUGACCCCGGCGAGGCACGAGCACGCCGUCGAGGUGGUGGUCAAGGCGAUCAACUGCCCGGAGAUACCGAUACGAAGGGGCCUGAUCGUGAACACGAACGACACGAAGCUGAGCACACGCGUGCUGUUGUCCUGUGCCAAUGGCAACUCGUUGAUUGGCGCAUCGGAGCUGUUUUGCUUGCCGAGUGGCAAUUGGAGCGCACCGUUGCCGGUUUGCGAGAGCGUCGAGUGCGGAGAUAUACCGCUGCCGAACAAUGUGAGCUCGCCGCGCGUCUCCGUGCUGUCGCGGGAGGUGGGCGGGCGCGCGGCGUUCUCGUGCUCGUCGGGUUACGGCUUGCGAGGCCCUUCGGAGGCCAUCUGUAACCCGACGGGCGAAUGGUCGGCCCCAUUCCCCACAUGUGUUGAGGUGCAGUGCGAUAAUCCCGGUGCGCCGCAAAACGGUUACGCCCAGGGCUCGGCACCUUACCGUGCCGGCGAUGUGGUCCAGUUCAAUUGCAACCCGGAGUACAUGAUGCAAGGUCAGCCAAUAAUUGCCUGUCAGGAUAACGGCCGCUGGUCGGGCGGUCUGCCGAAGUGCGUACAGGCCUGUUCGUAUCCAGGCACCGUCAUCAGCGGCCGCAUGUCCUCGGUCAAGUUCUACUACGCCAUCGGCGAGAGCAUCACCUUCACCUGUGACGCUGGCCUCGAGCUGCGCGGCUCCAAGGUCCUCAAGUGCAUGAAGAACGGCAAGUGGUCCAGCGCCAUACCCACGUGCGUCACCAACGAUGCACCUCCGCCCGGCACUGUCGGCUCCAACAAGCAUGUGUCCAACACCAUGGGUUGAGUGGAGGAUACCACAACGAAGCAGCAGCUAGCAGCUGAGCGAGCGGCCGUUUAGCUCACAGUCUCACGCGUAUACUAACUUACUAAUACACUGACAUUCUUGCGAUUCGAAAUUUAAUUGUAAUUGUCUAACGGCCCAUCAUUUUACUAUUAAUAAAUGUUCGUCGAAUAAACAGUUCUUGGGCUGGGGCCUGGGAUUCCUGCGAGUAGUA
RNAcentral lists this unclassified non-coding RNA (5382 nucleotides) under Drosophila pseudoobscura pseudoobscura. RNAcentral describes it as "GA10140". The record is from RNAcentral. Lineage: Eukaryota; Metazoa; Arthropoda; Insecta; Diptera; Drosophilidae.